AACAAGCCUCAGAUGAUUUUUUUCUCAGCCUUCAGAGUCGUCCAGCUGUGAUCCAGACAUGGUACAGCAAAGUCAAGCUACCCUCUGCUGUGCCCUGUCUUGAUUUAUUUAUUUAAAAUUUUUUUUUUAGUUUUAAUUUUUUUUACUCUGUAAGCUUUGUUGGUCUUAACCUCAGGUUCAGCAUUAAAUGUGAUUAAAUUUUAUUUAAUGUGAUGGAACCUUCAAGACGUGGAGCCUCAGGGUACGGGUUAGGUAAUUAUUGCCCUACUUUUACAUUUCCCUUAAUUUUUAAAGGGAUUGUACUGAGCUCAGUACGAAACAUAGUUUGUUUGUCAAAAGCAAAGAUAGUUGUCUUUUAUGUAUUUGGUAGUUUGGUAGUUUUUGGGUUAAUAGGAGUUUAUCAGGUAAGUUUAGGGUUCCGGCCGGGAGGUGAUCCACCCGCCUCGGCCUCCCAAAGUGUUGGGAUUACAGGGGUGAGUCACCGCGCCCGGCCAACACAUUAACUUUAAAAAGUUGACUUUCCAUGUUCCAUUAAGUAAAGGA
RNAcentral lists this long non-coding RNA (543 nucleotides) under Pan troglodytes (chimpanzee). RNAcentral's name for it is "long non-coding RNA NONPTRT005514". The record is from RNAcentral. Lineage: Eukaryota; Metazoa; Chordata; Mammalia; Primates; Hominidae.